UACGUAGGGCGCAAGCGUUGUCCGGAAUUAUUGGGCGUAAAGAGCUCGUAGGUGGUUUGUCGCGUUGUUCGUGAAAACUCACGGCUUAACUGUGAGCGUGCGGGCGAUACGGGCAGACUGGAGUACUGCAGGGGAGACUGGAAUUCCUGGUGUAGCGGUGGAAUGCGCAGAUAUCAGGAGGAACACCGGUGGCGAAGGCGGGUCUCUGGGCAGUAACUGACGCUGAGGAGCGAAAGCGUGGGGAGCAAACAGG
Molecule: ribosomal RNA, 253 nt
Filed under: uncultured bacterium
Lineage: Bacteria
Description: partial 16S ribosomal RNA
Rfam family: Bacterial small subunit ribosomal RNA
Source: RNAcentral